This 101-nucleotide non-coding RNA is filed under the name Burkholderia humi (ex Srinivasan et al. 2013). RNAcentral's name for it is "Burkholderia humi Glycine sequence". It matches the Rfam family "Glycine riboswitch aptamer". Rfam says of the family: This family represents the bacterial glycine riboswitch. Lineage: Bacteria; Pseudomonadati; Pseudomonadota; Betaproteobacteria; Burkholderiales; Burkholderiaceae. The record is from RNAcentral.
CCGCACGCGUCGGGAGAGCGCGUGGCCGCUGGUUUUCGCGUGCCGCGCCGCCGAAGGGGCACACCCACAAACUCUCAGGCAAAAGGACCGGCCGCGUCGAA